This is a long non-coding RNA of Triticum aestivum (bread wheat), 965 nucleotides long. RefSeq lists it as uncharacterized. The transcript is spliced from 2 exons. Lineage: Eukaryota; Viridiplantae; Streptophyta; Magnoliopsida; Poales; Poaceae. The record is from RefSeq and is a predicted model, not a curated record.
CUCCAUCGUUCUCACAUCCAAAAAAGCACCGACGGAGCUAUCUCCUUCGUGGCCCUUAUCCACAAGGUUGCUCCUCAUCCAUCAUCACCCAGCUCCCAGCAGCGCUGCUCUCUCGUCUUCUCCACCCCGCCCCGCCCCCAAUUCCUUCCAACGCCUACGCAUUGGUGCUCCAGCCAAAGACAGCCACCCCAGCCGCCGUCUGCUCCCCCCCCUCUCUAUAAAUCGCGGGUCCCCUCUCUACAAAUCGCGGGUCCGUGGAGCGAACAGCCGGUGGCUGUGGUGUCCAUCCCCUUUCUUCCUCUGCUCUGACGAGCUGCCUUGCUUGGAUCCGUCGAGCGAGGCGCCGGUGGCGGCGGUGUCCGACGUGCUCCCGGCCGGUGCCCCUUUCGUCCUCUGCUCUGAGGCCGGGUCCGGGCUUGCCUCUGUUCUUUUGCCAUCCCACAGUCGACCGCUGCCUCUGCUCCAACCAUGACAUGACCUGAGUUCCUUCUAUUCUUUUUCUUCAUUUAUUUCCUUUGAUUCUUGAGAAACACUCGCUGGAACAUCUCACGCAGACGGGCUAAGGCCCAAGUGGCAACGCAUCAGCCACGAAUGAUCGCAAGGCAAGGCCCGAGCAAGAGCGCAUAUGGAAAAUAUAUAAUUAGUGCACGUACGGACGCAUAUAGAUAGUACCACCUUGGAUAUUAAGAAAAAUAUCAAAUCAAGAAAAAACGGACAGGAAGAAGCGUAUUAUGACAUGGGAAGAAAGCGCAUUGUGACGGUGAACCCGGAGACUCAAUCGAUACUUUAUUAUUAGGGAGAGAUUAGCAAGCGUGGUGGAAAUUUCAGCUUUCGGUAUCUUUCUUUUAUUUGUAAUAAUAUCUUUCAUGUACUUAGCAUAAGGAUUGGUUUUGAGUAUAUCAGUUAAUCGCAUACACAAAAAGGUAGGUUUAAUCAUUUCAGCAAAGCGCUCAAAAUCCUCAUUA